AGAGUUUGAUCAUGGCUCAGAUUGAACGCUGGCGGCAGGCCUAACACAUGCAAGUCGAGCGGUAGCACAGAGAGCUUGCUCUCGGGUGACGAGCGGCGGACGGGUGAGUAAUGUCUGGGAAACUGCCUGAUGGAGGGGGAUAACUACUGGAAACGGUAGCUAAUACCGCAUAACGUCGCAAGACCAAAGUGGGGGACCUUCGGGCCUCAUGCCAUCAGAUGUGCCCAGAUGGGAUUAGCUAGUAGGUGGGGUAACGGCUCACCUAGGCGACGAUCCCUAGCUGGUCUGAGAGGAUGACCAGCCACACUGGAACUGAGACACGGUCCAGACUCCUACGGGAGGCAGCAGUGGGGAAUAUUGCACAAUGGGCGCAAGCCUGAUGCAGCCAUGCCGCGUGUGUGAAGAAGGCCUUCGGGUUGUAAAGCACUUUCAGCGGGGAGGAAGGCGUUGAGGUUAAUAACCUUGUCGAUUGACGUUACCCGCAGAAGAAGCACCGGCUAACUCCGUGCCAGCAGCCGCGGUAAUACGGAGGGUGCAAGCGUUAAUCGGAAUUACUGGGCGUAAAGCGCACGCAGGCGGUCUGUCAAGUCGGAUGUGAAAUCCCCGGGCUUAACCUGGGAACUGCAUUCGAAACUGGCAGGCUAGAGUCUUGUAGAGGGGGGUAGAAUUCCAGGUGUAGCGGUGAAAUGCGUAGAGAUCUGGAGGAAUACCGGUGGCGAAGGCGGCCCCCUGGACAAAGACUGACGCUCAGGUGCGAAAGCGUGGGGAGCAAACAGGAUUAGAUACCCUGGUAGUCCACGCCGUAAACGAUGUCGAUUUGGAGGUUGUGCCCUUGAGGCGUGGCUUCCGGAGCUAACGCGUUAAAUCGACCGCCUGGGGAGUACGGCCGCAAGGUUAAAACUCAAAUGAAUUGACGGGGGCCCGCACAAGCGGUGGAGCAUGUGGUUUAAUUCGAUGCAACGCGAAGAACCUUACCUGGUCUUGACAUCCACAGAACUUUCCAGAGAUGGAUUGGUGCCUUCGGGAACUGUGAGACAGGUGCUGCAUGGCUGUCGUCAGCUCGUGUUGUGAAAUGUUGGGUUAAGUCCCGCAACGAGCGCAACCCUUAUCCUUUGUUGCCAGCGGUUAGGCCGGGAACUCAAAGGAGACUGCCAGUGAUAAACUGGAGGAAGGUGGGGAUGACGUCAAGUCAUCAUGGCCCUUACGACCAGGGCUACACACGUGCUACAAUGGCAUAUACAAAGAGAAGCGACCUCGCGAGAGCAAGCGGACCUCAUAAAGUAUGUCGUAGUCCGGAUUGGAGUCUGCAACUCGACUCCAUGAAGUCGGAAUCGCUAGUAAUCGUAGAUCAGAAUGCUACGGUGAAUACGUUCCCGGGCCUUGUACACACCGCCCGUCACACCAUGGGAGUGGGUUGCAAAAGAAGUAGGUAGCUUAACCUUCGGGAGGGCGCUUACCACUUUGUGAUUCAUGACUGGGGUGAAGUCGUAACAAGGUAACCGUAGGGGAACCUGCGGUUGGAUCACCU
This 1528-nucleotide ribosomal RNA is filed under the name Klebsiella pneumoniae BWH 2. Its description in RNAcentral is "bacterial SSU rRNA". It matches the Rfam family "Bacterial small subunit ribosomal RNA". Lineage: Bacteria; Pseudomonadati; Pseudomonadota; Gammaproteobacteria; Enterobacterales; Enterobacteriaceae. The record is from RNAcentral.